GCAAAUACGACAAUCUGCCUGUGGCCAUAAAACACAUUCCCCAGCCUGGCAUUCAGUGCACAUCAAUGCUGCUGGGUGGGAAAACUCGCAAGGUCCCUCUGGAGGUGGCACUGCUGCUGAAACUCAAACCAGUAGCUGCAGUGGUGACCC
Epinephelus fuscoguttatus (brown-marbled grouper) is the source of this 150-nucleotide long non-coding RNA. RefSeq lists it as uncharacterized. NCBI's taxonomy places the organism in Eukaryota, Metazoa, Chordata, Actinopteri, Perciformes, Serranidae. The transcript has 3 exons. The record is from RefSeq and is a predicted model, not a curated record.